Molecule: ribosomal RNA, 460 nt
Filed under: uncultured bacterium
Lineage: Bacteria
Description: partial 16S ribosomal RNA
Rfam family: Bacterial small subunit ribosomal RNA
Source: RNAcentral
CCUACGGGAGGCAGCAGUGAGGAAUAUUGGUCAAUGGGCGCGAGCCUGAACCAGCCAAGUAGCGUGAAGGAUGACUGCCCUACGGGUUGUAAACUUCUUUUAUAAAGGAAUAAAGUGAGGCACGUGUGCCUUUUUGCAUGUACUUUAUGAAUAAGGAUCGGCUAACUCCGUGCCAGCAGCCGCGGUAAUACGGAGGAUCCGAGCGUUAUCCGGAUUUAUUGUGUUUAAAGGGAGCGUAGAUGGGAUGUUAAGUCAGUUGUGAAAGUUUGCGGCUCAACCUUAAAAUUGCAAUUGAUACUGGAAGUCUUGAGUACAGUUGAGGUAGGCGGAAUGCGUGGUGUAGCGGUGAAAUGCUUAGAUAUCACGAAGAACCCCGAUUGCGAAGGCAGCUUACUAAACUGUGACUGACAUUGAUGCUCGAAAGUGUGGGUAUCAAACAGGAUUAGAUACCCGGGUAGUC